AUGUCAUUAACCCGGAGCUCCUCUUCAGCCUCGAGUGGAACCGCUUCUCCUCCUAGCGAACAGGGUUCAGUUUCUGGUGAAGAACAUAUCUUCAACAGGGAUGGAUUUGCUGAGUUGGAGACCUGGGAGGACCCCACUCCUAGGCCAUCACCCUUUACUCUCAAGGAGCUGGGUGAUGCCUGGGUUGCUGCUGCAAAGCGCCAGCUCAUUCGCAGGCCCAAGACACCGCCCCGUGAGGAGCUGCUGAGGCGCAGCCAAGAGCAUAACCAGAAGAGUUUGAUAAUAGCGUUGAACGUCUAUGCCAAGUAA
RNAcentral lists this ribosomal RNA (309 nucleotides) under Triticum aestivum (bread wheat). RNAcentral describes it as "partial small subunit ribosomal RNA". The record is from RNAcentral. Lineage: Eukaryota; Viridiplantae; Streptophyta; Magnoliopsida; Poales; Poaceae.